RNAcentral lists this long non-coding RNA (1614 nucleotides) under Gadus morhua (Atlantic cod). RNAcentral describes it as "lncRNA (ENSGMOG00000030191.1)". Lineage: Eukaryota; Metazoa; Chordata; Actinopteri; Gadiformes; Gadidae. The record is from RNAcentral.
AUGUCUGCAGGUUUCCUGGCGUCUCUGAAGCUACCCAGCUACGAGGAGAUCGCGGCCCAGCCGUCCACCCCCCCUCCCCCCUACAGCUCGGUGUUCACCUCCCCCCGCUACCCCCAGCCCCCCACCGCCCCGGACCCCCACCUCCUCACACACCACCAGCGCCCCCAGCUGGCCCACUGCAGCGACAUGCUGUCCUCCCUCAGCUCCGACAACAGCUCCAGCUGCUCCUGUGACUCCUGCUGCCCGUCGUCUCCAUGUAGCUCCUCCCUCUCGGUGAACGUCACCUACGAGACGGACACAAGCCACGCCUCCACGCCCUGCGGCGUGCCCCCCCUCCCCCUGCACGUCACCGCGGAGACCGUUGCCUCGGAGGUGGCCCUAGAGGCAGUGCGCCGGGCCCAGUCCAUGGUGGUGGUCGUGGAGACGGUCGCCGUGGCUACCGCUGACCCCGGCGACAACAACGAAGGAGGCGUGUCAGGGAGCGUCGCGGACGAGGUGACGGUCACCGGGGAGACCGCGGCGUCGGUAACCACGGCGACGGGAAUUGUGUCGUCGGUAGCGCCGCACACUCCCGGAGAAGACGACGCUCGCACCGCGUCUCCCAUAAUGCCUCAGUCUGACCUGGCCGCCUGCGUCUCCAAAGCCAUCGUAAUCCUGACCGGUCAGAACCCCGGGAGGGAGCGAGCCUGUCCAGGAGAAACGGUCGCUGCAGAGGGACUUCCUGCCCCAAGCCCUGACCUCGUCGCUCCACUAAACCCUAGCCCUGACCCUAACCACGCCCCUACUAUAAGCCACACCCCCAACCUUAACCACACCCCUACAGAUAAGGCCCAAGCUGACCCUAACCCCACACCUAUUCUAAGACCCACCUCUGACCCUAGCCCCGCCCCUAACUUAAGCCCCGCCCCUGGAAGGGGUGAAGGCCCACCGUCCAUCCAGACCUGCAUCCCAACCUCUGGAGCCGAACAGCACAGGCCGGCCUCCCCCCCCUCUCCCCCCUCCUCCCCCCCUCCCCCAGUGCUGCUCCUGGCCCCCACGCUGGACUCCCUGCUGGCUCCGCCGGUGAGCCGGUCAGCCAAGACCUCCCUCUCUCCCUCCCCCCGGCCCACCCACUCCGCCACCAAGCAGACCCUCUUCUCCCCCUGCGUGGACGUCUACGAGGCCGGACCCCCCAGCUGGGGGCGGGCGCCGGGGGGGGAUCAGGAGGAGGAGGAGGAGGAGCAGGAGGAGGAGGAGGGGCGGGACGAAGACGACGUGGGCGCUGACGAGAGUCAGUACCGCCACCGCCGGCUGACGGGAGACUCGGGGAUCGAGGUGUGCCGCUGUCGCAUGGAGGAGGAGGAGGAGGAGGAAGAGGAGGAGGAUGACGACAACGACGACGAAGAGGAGGAGAAGGAGAGUGGAGGAGGAGGAGGAGGGAAGGAGUCUCUGAGGAGUGGAGGGGAGGGCGGGAGACAAGGAAGUGAUGUCACCGUCGUGCUCCACGACAGCGCCGACUGUCCAGCGCGGGCUCUGGUGCCGACCCCGCCGUGUAGCUCCUCCCCCAACGCCACGCCCACGUCCGCCCCCCUCAAAGACCCCGGCGAGGUCAUUAUCGUCGUGGAGACAGUGUGA